This 467-nucleotide ribosomal RNA is filed under the name uncultured bacterium. Its description in RNAcentral is "partial 16S ribosomal RNA". It matches the Rfam family "Bacterial small subunit ribosomal RNA", at positions 28 to 507 of the family's 1533-position model. The record is from RNAcentral.
GAUGAACGCUGGCGGCGUGCCUAACACAUGCAAGUCGAGCGAUGAAGGCCAGCUUGCUGGGUGGAUUAGUGGCGAACGGGUGAGUAACACGUGAGCAACCGGCCCGUGACUGUGGGAUAAGCGCUGGAAACGGCGUCUAAUACUGGAUAUAUCACAUCACCACAUGGUGUGCGGGUGGAAAGAUUUUUCGGUUGGGGAUGGGAGCGCGGCAUAUCAGCUUGUUGGGGAGGUAAUGGCUCACCAAGGCGACGACGGUGAGCCGGCCUGGGAGGGUGACCGGCCACACUGGGACUGAGACACGGCCCAGACUCCUACGGGAGGCAGCAGUGGGGAAUAUUGCACAAUGGGCGGAAGCCUGAUGCAGCAACGCCGCGUGAGGGAUGUCGGCCUUCGGGGUGGAAACCUCUUUUAGCAGGGAAGAAGCGAAAGUGACGGUACCUGCAGAAAAAGCACCGGCUAACUACGUG